Chryseobacterium gleum ATCC 35910 is the source of this 32-nucleotide non-coding RNA. NCBI's taxonomy places the organism in Bacteria, Pseudomonadati, Bacteroidota, Flavobacteriia, Flavobacteriales, Weeksellaceae. The record is from Rfam.
AAAGCGGAACCGAAAAGCUAAACGAGUAGGAA